CGGAUAGAAGCCCGCUGGGUUGGGUGUUUAGCUGUUAAUUAAUUUUUUGCGGGAUCGAGGCCCGCCUGUCCAG
RNAcentral lists this transfer RNA (73 nucleotides) under Sceloporus poinsettii. RNAcentral's name for it is "tRNA-Asx". Lineage: Eukaryota; Metazoa; Chordata; Lepidosauria; Squamata; Phrynosomatidae. The record is from RNAcentral.